Micropterus dolomieu (smallmouth bass) is the source of this 3800-nucleotide long non-coding RNA. RefSeq lists it as uncharacterized. Lineage: Eukaryota; Metazoa; Chordata; Actinopteri; Centrarchiformes; Centrarchidae. The transcript is spliced from 2 exons. The record is from RefSeq and is a predicted model, not a curated record.
UCGCUCCCCGCCCGCCUGGCUUUGUCAUCUCCAACCAUUUUAAAAGCGUCGUGAUCUCCGCUCGCUCACCCCCGCAUGAGCUCCACGGAGCAGGGCACUUUCUUUUCACCCUCGAUCGCGCCUAAUAACGGGACAAAACGCAACGUUACAGCUCUGCGGGGACACCGUGGGGAAGUGAGAGAGCAGUGCAGACAGGUCCGGGGCGCCACAGUUUACUCAGCUGGUGCAACAACGAGGCGAACCUGGGCGAGGACAGAUGCAGCAGCGCGCCCGUGCCUCCUCUCUCCUCCUUCGGCCUCGCUGAGGAGGAAGCUCCCGGCGCUGGUGAAAGAUACUGGCCCGCCAAGCUCCGCUGCCACCUGCCGCAUCGGGAAGUCCUUGUUCGGGCGCUAUUUGGACGAUCUCCUACCCUGCCUUGACGCACAGACAACAACGCGAAGCCAUAUGGAGCUCCUUCAGUGCUGCGGAGGGGCAAAGUCGGGGCGCCGCUUUUAAAGGGCCAGAAGCCUGAUAUCGCCUUAAGGUCUUGUGGUCAGGCACAGAUGGGUCAAAUGACAUCCCUGAGGCAGGAGCCAUUCAUCAGGAGAUCACUUCAUGUCGCUUCCACUCCACUGGGUUCUGCUCUUCACAUCUUUGCAUAGAUGCAGACAGCUGCAUCUCCAGUAAUGCAAAAUAGAAUAUUAACUAGAAUGCAUUUAUCAGACUCCACCCAUCCAAACAGAUCAAUAAUGGCUUUCUCAGCAGCCCACUCUGAUUAAUUUCUGAGGAGAUCAAUGCCUCAGUUACUCAUCUCUUGAUGGAGCAGAGGCACAGUCACCUCUGUAACUCAUUACUGAUGAGCCACAGAUGAGUCAGCAGAAACCCCAGCAGAGCACGGCCAGGUCAAUUACACAUGAAGCACCCAGACUAGCCGGACAGAUAACCUGCGGCCAGAACAGGUAAGACUAGACCGAUCCGCCCUCAACAAACACUCUGAUCUCAUACCCUGCUAGCACGAUACUACCAGCUACCCAUUUGCUUGCUGAGGCUUAAACAAGACGUGUCCCCUUUGCAUUAAUUAGCCAAACUUCCCUCCAUUAGGUAGAGAAGCUUAAUAGCCCUUCUGCUAUCUCUCUACCAUGAAUACCUGUGCCAUUACAAAUCUAUUAACUCAAACACAUUUUACACAGAGGGCAGGUAUAAUUUCCAGCAAGCAGAACAAUGCAGUUUGCAGUUAAAUUCAUCGUGUCACGUGAAGAAGAUGUCACUCAUCACAAGCGUCUCAAUAUCUUAAUAUCAGUGUUAAUUUUGUGUUUAAGGCUGCGCCCAAGCUGCCCUGGCGUGGGGCCAAACAUGCACUGUCAAAUAGCAGGCUAGGCUACUGAAUAAUGGAUAGCGACAGGCUACAUAAUUCAUCUACAUUUUCCAGUAUGGCAGAGCAUAUUUCACCAGACACUCUGCCUUGGUGCUGCGUCCCGUCCUUCACUCAAAAAACGAACUCGCUUGUCAGCCACCUUGACGGCAUCUCUCUCAGCAGCUGUGUCUGUUAGUGUGACUGCCAGACUUCUCGUGUUAAAUGGCACAAACAUAACUUUUGAGAUGCUUACACGUUUAAUUAAAUCAUGUCUAAUAGAGAGGCACCCAUUCCAAACGCCGAGUCCAGAGAUGAAAUGAGCCAGAAAGGAAAUAGCGACUAAUCAUAACAGCAAAUAGUAGUAAAAUUGCUACAAUCAUCCCCAGCUGUUGAAGCACUCACACAAGCCACAUCAGGACAGAUAGUCUGGCUGCUGACACAUUUUAAUUAUCUGCAAAAAAACCCCUAUCAAAACAUUUUAGAUGCAAAUGCACUUGGCCAGCUGAAUUUGCACGGCAAAUCAGAAUAUUUUGCAUAUAGUUUCAGGUUUUAAUCCUCUAAUAGCCACAGGCCCUGUGAAAGUGUUCUUCAGCUAAACACUGAACUACAACCACCUCACUUAUUUCAACAACUUCAAUUAAAUUAAAAAGAAAACCAUAAAACAUUUUCCUCCAAAUGCCUCUGUCCAGCCCACAAUCUUGCUGUGUGGUCAGAAAAGCAUUACCAACAGAGCGUCUUCUGCUUGAGUGACCCCUACGUCCCAUGGAUGUCCUGGUCUCCUAGGUGACCCGCACGCCUGAUUUGCAGGUCCUGGGUGACCUAGUCUCAAGCGGUCCCAGUGCAUCCAUUUGCCACUGUAACGGUGUAGAAAGUAAGGCAAGAAAGCCUCUUACAGCCCAAGUGAGUGAACAUGAUAAUCCCCUCUGUGUCUGCUCUGCAACUUCACCUGCUGCUAAUCCAUAACCUGAUAAUCCUACGUGUGCAACACACACACAAACACACGUUACACUGAUGUAUGCAGAUGCACAUAGACACUGAAUUAUGGACAUGCACACUCUCUCUCUCUCUCUCACACACACAGAGCUGAACACACAUCUUUUAACGCCGGAAAACAUGCAAGGCCCCAACAAGCAGCUACCUCCCUCUGCCCCCUCUUUAGAUCCAGCUCAUAGUCACGUCUGUGUCAUACAUGCAUGCAGCAGUGUUCAUGUACAUGGUCUUUUCCGGCAUGCCAUGUCCAUAGAUACCUGCGUUGUGUUCUACAGCAUGCAUCUGUAUUCGCAUUGAAAGUUUUGCUUAAAGAACCCAGUGCAUCUGUCUUCAUCGGCAUGGUCUGACCUGAGUGGUCACCCCAUUCUACAAGCGCAUGCAGUGAGAGGGUUAAUUCCUGUUCAGCAGUCAUCACUCCAGGCCCCAAGGAGCUACAGAUUAUCCAGGGUCCACAGCAGUAAGAUCACAUCUUAACCUUUUCAGACAAGAACCAGAGACACUCUAAUAAGUAACAAGACAUUGUAGCUCUUGAGGGCCGGGGGUUGGGUGACACCUGCUCCAAGCCGUUGCGCAUGGCCGCAUGCACCUUGGGAUUCUGGACACAAAUGGGAGGCGGGGAGAGGGGGGGCGAAGGGGCGUCAUCCAGUCUAAUUCGAGCAAACUCACUUUUUUCAAACCUGUCUGUGAGGCAGGCACGCAUGGUAGCGUCGGCGACCUGGCCUGGGUCCUGCAGUUCAGAAGCCUCCUGCCUAAUGGUGGUCAACACUAACUGCUCUGUGGGCACCAGAAAGGCCGCGGCGGGAGAAAACAACACACACAAGACAACAAGUCAAUAUACACAUACCGCACACAACUCAUCUAUGUGUAACAGCUGCAAAUGUGUUUGUGUGUGCGUGUCGCUAGAAGCGCUAACAGUGAGAUGAGACUCAUGCCUGCAUAUGAAAGAUGUUGACCUCAAAAGUUUCACACAGAGACGGACUUGUGAAAUGUAAGCUUCUAGCUUGUCCAGGAGUGCCCCCCUGUGUACAGCUUAUGUCAGUACCUCUAUUCUGCAAUUCAUUAGACCUCUCUCUAUCUCCCAAGUGGCAUCUUCAGUAGCUUGGCAGCCAUGACGACCAGUCAUUAUCUUUCCAAAACAGACAUAUUGUUGACAGUUGGCUGAGCUAAAUGACUUGCAUAAACUAGACACCCCUACACUGGGACAGAUGUGCCCUUACAUUAAAAAACUAAUCACGUGGGAUGUCCAGAACAAUCUGCAAAAAACAUUAAGACAUCUUUAUUUUUGUUUAGCUUCAUUGUGACAUUAGGCUAAAAUAUGUUUUUUUCCUACAGUAGAAUGUGCUUUUUCAACCAAUGUGAGAAGUGUUUUUGUGUCUGUGAGUACUCAUUAGAAACAUGACAAAAUACUCAAAUGCUGGUCAGAGUUUGUGUCAACCACUAUUUAUGGUCUUCUUAAAUAAAAGCAAAUUCAGUUGUU